GGCAUGGAUGCAUUGGAUAUAGAGAAGUGGAAUAUUGUUAGUGAAACAUAUAUCCCAAUGAUAUCUAUCGCCUUGAGCUCCAUUGUUUUGGCGUUGGUGCUGUCCAGGCGAGAAGAUCUCUAUUAGGCAGCAAAUCUCAUGACAGGUGCUGUGUUAGUUGCAUUGGCCUAUGAUAAGAUAUCCUGAAGGAGAACAAGGAGCUGCCUAAAGGGGAUGAGAUCAACAAGUUUCAAUCGAAAGAGUUUAUUGUACUAUCUGCCGUGCUGGAUAGGAGGGGCCAGCGAAGUGCUUUUACUUAUGAGUUUGCUAACCCGGCAGAAUCCAAUAUUCCUGAGAUUGACGGAUGUUAUUACAUUAUUGUACUACAGCUGAAAACUCUUGGCAUUGAUGUGUAACCAUCAAGGUGAGUUUCGUAAUUUUGUUUUGUCAUUAUUCCCGGUCAUGAGUAGACGGAAAAUUUGCAUUGAGAAGAUAGACGCUAGUAAAUCCAGCCAUCAUAAAGUUAAAAUAUUUCAGGUGUGCUAGUGUGCUUUUUAUUUACAAAUAAAUAAACGACACAGAUAUGCAGAGUCGAAGAUUACAUCGACAUCGUUCUUCUUUCAUGAUUAUUAUAUAGUACGAUCUGAUAAAAACCUGGAAGUAAUACUCAAACGACAAGUGCUAGUAAAUCCAGCCAUCAUCAACUUAUAAUAUUUCAGGUGUGCUGGUGUGCUUUUUAUUUACAAAUAAAUAAACCACACAAAUAAACGACACAGAUAUGCAGAGUCGAAGGUCAAAUCGACAUCCUUCUUUUGGCAUGAUUAUUAUAUAGUGCGGUCUAAUAAAAACCUG
Molecule: long non-coding RNA, 831 nt
Organism: Triticum dicoccoides
Lineage: Eukaryota; Viridiplantae; Streptophyta; Magnoliopsida; Poales; Poaceae
Exons: 5
Source: RefSeq, a predicted model, not a curated record